Molecule: ribosomal RNA, 253 nt
Filed under: uncultured bacterium
Lineage: Bacteria
Description: partial 16S ribosomal RNA
Rfam family: Bacterial small subunit ribosomal RNA
Source: RNAcentral
UACGUAGGUGGCAAGCGUUGUCCGGAUUUAUUGGGUUUAAAGGGUGCGUAGGCGGCCCACUAAGUCAGUGCUGAAAUAUCCCGGCUUAACCGGGAGGGUGGCAUUGAUACUGGUGGGCUUGAGUACAGAUGAAGUAGGCGGAAUUGACGGUGUAGCGGUGAAAUGCAUAGAUAUCGUCAAGAACACCGAUAGCGAAGGCAGCUUACUAAGCUGUAACUGACGCUGAGGCACGAAAGUGUGGGGAUCAAACAGG